UACGAAGGGUGCUAGCGUUAUUCGGAAUUACUGGGCGUAAAGGGCGCGUAGGCGGCCUGCUAAGUCACACGUGAAAUCCCUCGGCUCAACCGGGGAACUGCGUGUGAUACUGGCGGGCUUGAAUUCGGGAGAGGGAUGUGGAAUUCCAGGUGUAGCGGUGAAAUGCGUAGAUAUCUGGAGGAACACCGGUGGCGAAGGCGGCAUCCUGGACCGAGAUUGACGCUGAGGCGCGAAAGCUAGGGUAGCAAACGGG
This 253-nucleotide ribosomal RNA is filed under the name uncultured bacterium. Its description in RNAcentral is "partial 16S ribosomal RNA". It matches the Rfam family "Bacterial small subunit ribosomal RNA", at positions 524 to 776 of the family's 1533-position model. The record is from RNAcentral.